CUCCUUUUCCCACCUCCCCCAUUUUUGGAAAACACAGUAAAGUUUUGUUCAGUUCUCAAGUGUUAUUAAUCACUGGCGGAGGCCAAAAGCAGGGAUAUUUUUCUUGGCAGAACGUUUUGAUAAACAAUCUGUGUAUGGGGUGAAGGGAGGGGGGCUGUCUUGCUGGUAACUAAGCUAAUGUUUGGCAGAUUCUUAGCUGUCACGAAAGUGCAAGUGGCUCUCAGUGGGAAUGGCUUGAAAAAAAUGUACCGAUUCAGUUGAUUCAUUAUUGUUGAUUGUUUACUACGUCCACAGGAUGUAAGAUGAAAACAAUCCAGGGACAAAGCAAAAAUAACAACAGUGGAGAGGACCCAGUCUCUACGUAUCCGAGCAUAAAAUGCGCUACCCAGUGCUGAGUCCCUUGCAGAGUUAGCAGAAUUCAUUAUAGGCGUCUUUAUUUUGCACUGUAAGAUUUGGCAAAGGUUAGUUAACGUAUGGAAAUCUGGGCUUGCAGAUGGGUUUAAAAACCAUCAAGUCAGCUGUAUGAAAAUCCAUUUGGGCUGGGUCUCACACCGUAACCACUUUCCAGAGCAAAAAUGGGACGUUUGGGUGGCGUGGGGCCACAAAGCUGCCUGGGUGUAGGUGGCAUCAGGGGCUGGCGCAGAGCGGGGCAGCUGCGGGUGCUGUGAGCGGCACGGGGAGCAGAAAUGUGGAAAAGCACCACCAAACUGGGCAGCACUUUGGGCAGCGGCUGUUCGGACACGUUUGAGUGCUGCAGGCCAGAGAGAAAGAAAAAAACAGGAAGGAUGAAAGGAAGGAAGGAGGGAGAAAGGGAGGGAGGAGGGAAGCAGUAGGCUCUGUGUAUGUCAACAAGGCUUGCUACCUGAAGGAUGGUAGGAAAAUACAGAAUUAUAAUGAGAUGAGAACUGAAAUGAUAAACAGAAACAUGUAAUUACACUCCCGUUCUUUGUAACCAGGUGUUUUGACACUUUGUGGCAGCUUCUAGUAGAAGACAAUGUUGUUCAACUUUGAAUUUGACAAAAUUCUGCAACUUCUACCUGAAGUGUUGGUGUUUUGAUUUGCUGAACGCGUUCCCUUUACCUGCAAGCACUCCGUUCAUUGCUAAUCUCUACACGUUUUGGAAGCCGGUAAUUUGAUUGUGACGGAUUUUAUUUUAUUUGCCAUACUGAGGUAAAUCCACGUAAAUCACACUCUGGGGAGCGCUCUUUCCUUCUGGCCCCUUUAUUUUUUCCAGCUGUAGCCUCUGCUCUGACCACAGAGGGCAGAGCCCUUUCUGCGGCUGAGCGCCUCCAUCCCGAGCAGCUGCUGCAACUGCCACACCACGCAGUGCCACAGCUCUGCACCGCGAGCACCAAAGAGUUAAGCACGUUCCCAGGCUGGGAGCAUUUAGAGCAUUCUUUCCCAGACUGCCGAGAUCAUGGGCUCCUAAUUAUUGCUGCUUGCAAACGCUAGGGCUGUCCUAUAUUCCGCAUAAUUAACAUUGGACUGCUGAUCAAUAAUCAGCAAUAUUCCAGUGCCAAAAUCAAUAGCGAUCCCAGUGCUUUGGUGGCACAAGAGUAGAGCCUGGCAGACGUGAGGCUCAGGCAGGCACGUGGAAUGUGUCCCUUCUUCCUUCAUGGUGCAGUGCACCCUCUACUUCCUAGCAGCUGCAUUAAGAAAGGUGCUGGCCAGUCUGCACACCUCGUCUUUCUUACAAUCGCUUUGAUUCCUUCAUUCAAAUCCAAGGCUCACUUGCUGUUUUGGCGUUACGCAGAUGUGCGUGCGUGUGUGGUAUGGAAUACAGCAGGUUAGGGGAAUAAAGGGAAAAGGAUUCUUGGAUGGCAGCGUUUAUCCUAGCCUGAAAGGAAGGAGUUAGACGUUACUUCUGGCAGUGAGAACUGUGUUCCUGUCCACGGGGACUGCUGAUGGGCUGGGAGCGACGGGCAAUGUGCAGAGUCCCAGCGCUGCACCCAAAGUGCUGACUCGCAUUUCUGUGCAAAAAGCAAUUGCGGAGCGGUUGUUCACAACUGCCGCUCGGUCUCUCCUGGUGCUCCCCUCCCUUUUAUUAAACACAUCGCUGUCCUUUUCCCCCUUACGCUGUUUUUUGUUUGCUUGCGUCUUUUUUUUCAUUGAGCCACAUCGGGCACCUGAAUGGCUUCAUUGUUCGGCCUUCCUCUUUUCCUCCUCCAAACGCAAUUUUAAUUCCUGGAUUAUUUCAGAGCUAAACAAACACCGGCCACGUUCAGCACAAAGCCCUCCAGGCCCGUGCGGCUGCCCCGGGCCCACCGCCAGCGCUGCAGGGUGCGGAGGGCACCAGAUGAGAUCGAUCCUGACAACUCGUUCUCCGUGAAGGUGCCACGGUGUGCCAUUUAUUUGCAUUUACAUUGCGGCUCUCUUCAUCAAUCAGCUUUCAGAGAUCGCCACCGCUGCUGGCCAUAUUGUUGCUGCGCCGACACUUCAUCUUUAAGUGCCACUUGCGUAAUGGUACGGUGCGUGCCCAUGACCAAAGUUUAAAUCGGGGUUUAAUCAUUACGGAAAAACAAACAUAUUUGCAGGACUGCGUAUCCCGCAAGUAAAAGUAAAGGCAGUUUGCUCGGGUCACAGAUGCUAAUCUCCGCUCUUUUUCUGUUCACGAACUAUAGAGGGAGUUGACAGCACCUGCAAAUGGUUUUCUGAGGCGAGAUUACAUCUAAGGCGAUUAUUAUUUACACCCCCAUAAAGGCAGCGGGGAGGGCGGGCUGCUCUUCGGAGCCGGGCGCCGCCAAAUAAGGGCCCUUUUGCAGGGUUCGGGGGAGCGGGGGCGGCUCCGCGCGGCGGGGCCCCGGUGCCGGCGAGGCCCUACGAGGCGCCGGGCCGCAGCUCCGCGCGGCGAGGGGAGAGCCGCGGCUCCGGCGACCUCCGCGUUCUAAGCGGGCCCGACCUCUUCCCGCCGCUCCUCUCCGCUUCUCGUGCGAAGAUCGGCGCGGGGCGGGAGGAGGACAGGGCUCUCGACCUUGCGAGAGCUGCGGCGAGCGGAGGUGACCCUUUCGGUCAGGUGAAGGCGCGCGGGCGAGCGAGCCCGGCAGCUGGCCCCGAGCCCCCCGGCCGGGAGCGCGUCCUGCCCGUGUGCGGGGCGCUGCGGGAUCGCUGCGUUAGAACGGAGCUCCUCGCGGAACGCUAUCUGCGCCGCCAGCUCGGCGUGCGCGCCGUAUUAAGCUUCUCCUUUACAACAGCUCGUCUCACGCACGUUUCAAAUUCGUUUGCCGGCUUCGUAGAUUAUAACCGGACGCAUACAAAACGCUUUAGAUAACUAAAAAUGGAAAUGAGACGCAGUGGCGAUACGAAAGGAAUUAUUUAAAGGAACAACUUUUCGUCACGUGAGUCGUGGAACGUUAUUAGCCGGGCACGAGGCAGCUUUGUGCUCGGUGCUCAGGCGCCAGUAAGCGGCCGCGCGUACGCGAGUGUGCGCUCGCACGCGUUUGUGUCCGGCUGUCCGCGCCCGCCCCGCCCGCUGCGCUGCGCUGCGCUGCGCAGCCCCACAAAG
Molecule: long non-coding RNA, 3502 nt
Organism: Gallus gallus (chicken)
Lineage: Eukaryota; Metazoa; Chordata; Aves; Galliformes; Phasianidae
Source: Ensembl